CAGUGUAGAGAUACUGGGAUAAGAGUACAGGUGGUUGUUAGAGAAUAAUUUGCACUGAGCAUGACUAAUACGAAAAAUGAUUUGGAUGUCUAUUCAUUCGUCAAUAAUUUUCUCGAUGCUGCAGUAGUGUGACUGAUCUUUCGACCUAUGAUGUAUUAGCUAUUCGCAGGGAGACUACUUAGUUUGACUGCAUGUUCUCUUGAUCCCUAGCCAUUCGAGUCCUUACUGUGUAUGUUGGCUAUUGUAGGUUUAAGUUCACUAUUUGGAGUAGGAUGUACUUAGAUA
This 285-nucleotide long non-coding RNA is filed under the name Elaeis guineensis (African oil palm). RNAcentral describes it as "long non-coding RNA (EGUI_LNC054350)". Lineage: Eukaryota; Viridiplantae; Streptophyta; Magnoliopsida; Arecales; Arecaceae. The record is from RNAcentral.